ACGCUCGACACCUACGGGAGCAGCAGUAGGGAAUCUUCCACAAUGGGCGCAAGCCUGAUGGAGCAACACCGCGUGAGUGAAGAAGGGUUUCGGCUCGUAAAGCUCUGUUGUUGGAGAAGAACGUGCGUGAGAGUAACUGUUCACGCAGUGACGGUAUCCAACCAGAAAGUCACGGCUAACUACGUGCAAGCAGCCGCGGUAAUCUGAGCGGGCUGGCAAGGC
Molecule: ribosomal RNA, 222 nt
Filed under: uncultured bacterium
Lineage: Bacteria
Description: partial 16S ribosomal RNA
Rfam family: Bacterial small subunit ribosomal RNA
Source: RNAcentral